RNAcentral lists this ribosomal RNA (495 nucleotides) under uncultured bacterium. RNAcentral describes it as "partial 16S ribosomal RNA". It matches the Rfam family "Bacterial small subunit ribosomal RNA", at positions 28 to 507 of the family's 1533-position model. The record is from RNAcentral.
GACGAACGCUGGCGGCGUGCCUAAUACAUGCGAGUAGAACGCUGAAGGAGGAGCUUGCUUCUCUGGAUGAGUUGCGAACGGGUGAGUAACGCGUAGGUAACCUGCCUGGUAGCGGGGGAUAACUAUUGGAAACGAUAGCUAAUACCGCAUAAGAGUAGAUGUUGCAUGACAUUUGCUUAAAAGGUGCAAUUGCAUCACUACCAGAUGGACCUGCGUUGUAUUAGCUAGUUGGUGGGGUAACGGCUCACCAAGGCGACGAUACAUAGCCGACCUGAGAGGGUGAUCGGCCACACUGGGACUGAGACACGGCCCAGACUCCUACGGGAGGCAGCAGUAGGGAAUCUUCGGCAAUGGACGGAAGUCUGACCGAGCAACGCCGCGUGAGUGAAGAAGGUUCUCGGAUCGUAAAGCUCUGUUGUAAGAGAAGAACGAGUGUGAGAGUGGAAAGUUCACACUGUGACGGUAUCUGACCAGAAAGGGACGGCUAACUACGUG